CAACGUGCCCUUCCUUUCAGCCCCAGCCAGCCACGGCCGUACUGGCUGGGGAUGAUGGGAAUCGCAGUUCUACCCAUUCGGGUUGGGAAAGCUCCCCUCCAAAGUUUAGCUGUGUUAACUGUGUUUCAGGAAGUGGGGCUUCCUUUCUUCUAGAUUCAACUUGGCAGCCGGAAGUUCAGAGUAGCAAUGGAGAAGAGUUAAAAGAAGCCCGUAUUGCUCGGCGGCGCCCGUCUCUCCGUCCCCGACGGAUCGCUGGGCAGCCCAGGGCCCGGCCUCCUUUGGCGCGUCCGCCGGGCUUCCGCCGCUUCCUGAACCCUGAGCGCGCGCUCGCCCUUCGAGAGGACUGGCGUCUUAACCGGAGUUAAACUGUCUUGAAAAAGCAAAACACUGCACAGAAUGGAAUCUUCUGCUCUUCUAUGCCAUCAGUGUCUUUACCCAGCCUCAUCCCUCAACUUCCUGUCAGGAGCAGAUCUUUGUUUGCCAGUAAUAAGAAUGGGAAGAGAGUGAACAAAGAGACCUGUGGAGAUAGGAUGGCAAGCCCAGAGGCUGUAUCCUUGAUACAGCUUUUGAAGUUUUUAAAGGGAACUGGCAAGGUCUUCAGGUCGACAGCUGGCAAGCCAUUCUACACAGUCCAUACAGCCCGAGCAUCUAGAAUCACAAAUAUAUAUUGAGGCAGGAGAAGGAAUUUAUUUAUCAGUGUUCUUCUAUGAGUGAAACAGACCAUUGGAGGAUGGUGUUCCUGCUCCCCCUGCAGUCUUCCAUAAAAGUAAAAGGAAAAUAUAUAUCAUUGAGUUGUACUCGAUUCCUGAUGACCACACGGACACAUCUAUGUAAUUUUCUUUGGCAACAUUAUGGAAACACUUCCUCCUGAUGUGGAACUACCACAAGAGAAACUUCAGCAAAGUUGUGUGGAGACAGACUAGGUGGCGCACACGUGAAAGGGCUUCUGGCAAAACCUUUGACUGAUCUCCUCCUUGUUGGGAUGCAACUAACAAAAGAAGGGAGCACACAGUUGGAUUUAGUAAAGUUUUAUGAUUGCAUUAUCAGGCUCUGAGCUGCAGACAGAUUGUGAUUUUCCUGCCCAACUAAAUCAGUGAUUAGCAAUGUGCAAAUAGCAGAAUCUAUAUUAAUAAAGCAAUGAAGUAAAUCAUCACCUAAGCACACUACAGUGGAAUGUCUAUAAUCUUCUGGGAAGAUUAUAUGGUUAUAUAAAGCAGUAGUAAUAGCCUUCGACAAGACCUAAGUUUAACUCAUAGAAUCAUCUAUUGUAAUGUCCUUCCUGUCAAAGACUACUUCAGCUUUAAUUGCAAUAAUACAAGAGCAACCAAUAGAUUUAAACUUAAUGUUAACCGCUUUAAUCUAGAUUGCAGAAAAUCUGUAACAGAAUCAUCAGUGCUUGGAAUACUUUACCUGACUCUGUGGUCUCUUCUCAUAAUCCUAAAAGCUUUAACCCAAAACUUUCUACUAUUGACCUCACCCCAUUCCUAAGAGGACCAUAAGGGGUGUGCAUAAGCGCACAAACGUGCCUACCGUUCCUGUCCUAUUGUUUUUCUUUUCUUCUUCAUAUAUAUAUAUAUGCUUAUACCUUUAUAUACUAUAUAACCUUUCUGUAUGAUAGUUACAUAUAUUGUUGUGACAAAAUAAAUAAAUAAAUAAAAUAAAUAAAAUAAAAUAAAUAAAUAAAUAAAUAAAUAGAUAAAUAAAUAAAUAGUAUUGUAAAAAGCCCUGCCACUCCAUCUUGAGGAGUUGCUACAAUCCAGACUCUCACAGUGUCAAGCAACACAACCAUUUGUAAAAUUAUGUCAUAGAUAGAAUAAUAGAGUUGGAAGGGACCUUGGAGGUCUUCUAGUCCAAACUUCUAGUCCAAGCAUACCAUUUAAGAUAAAUGAUUGUCGAGUCUAUUUUUGAAAGCCUCUAGUGAUGGAGCAUCCACAACUUCUGAAGGCAAGUUGUUCCAUUGGUUGAUUGCUCUCACUGUUAGGAAAGUUCUAGGUUGCUUCUCUCCUUGGUUGAUUUCCAUUCAUUGUUUCUCAUCUUGCCUUUUGGUGCUUUGGAAAAUCGGUUGACCCCUCUUGUCUUUGUAGGAGCCGCUCAAAUAGUGGAACACUGCUAUCAUGUCUCCCCUAGUCCAUCUUUUCAUUAGACUAGACAUAGUCAAUUCCUGUAACUGUUCUUUGUAUGUUUAAGCCUCCAGUCCCCUAAUCAUCUUUGUUGCUCUUCUCUACACUAUUUCUAAAGUCUCAUCAAGUGUGGUCUUAUGAAGACUUUGUAAAGCGGUACUAAAACUUCAUAUGAUCUUGAACUUAUCCUAUCCUAUCCUAUCCUAUCCUAUCCUAUCCUAUCCUAUCCUUUUUCUCUUCUCUGCGAUGCUCCACUUCAAUGCCUUGAAAUGAAGUUUCAAAAUAGUCCAAUAAUUUGAUGGCAGUUUUGCUCCAUGGAAAAAGACAUCUCUGCAAAAAUUCCUCUUAUCAAAUGGCAGAACUGCUCCAGCCAGAUUUUCCAAAGAGAAGUCUUGCUUUAUUUGCUUCUUAGAUUGACAUCCCAUGUGAAGACAGAAGCUUAUGUUUGUCUUAUGUGAGAUCUCCCUUUUUUUAUUCCCAUAAACUCCCUGUGCAGAGCUGAGAGGGACUGGUUUACAGCCACCAAUGAGUUUCUAUGGUUGAAGGAGGAUUUAAGCCUGGUGCAUCAGCUUUACAACACUGAGAUACAUCCUGAAGGAGCUCUGUGACUAAAGCCUUAUUAAAUGAAAGCCUUCUUCGAAGCUCUAUACAGUCUUACAAAACAGUACAUUUCUUUCACUACAAUUUCAAAAGAAUAUUCUAUUCCCUGGGACAAAAUAAUUGUAAGACCUGUCACAAUAUGAUCUUCUGGCUCAUCCCACUAGCUUAUUAUAAUAGUUUAAAAGAAAUGAUGAUCAAUAUCUCCCGUCAUUCAAAAGGAUGGGGCAACAUUUCUAUUACUGAAAACAGCUGUUGUAUCAUGUUGUGUCCUCUUCCUUAUUUAUUUAUUUAUUUAUAUCCCACCUUUAUCAUUUUUACAAAUAACUCAAAAUAGUGAACACAUCCAACUCAUCUUCUUCCUCUUAUUUUCUCCACAAUAACAAUACUGUGAGGUGAGUCGGGCUGAGAGAGAGUGACUAGUCGAAGUAAAAGGAUUAUCACUUCAGAAAUAAAUGCUUUAUAGUGCUGUUCAUACGCUAUGAUGUGUGCAACUAUGAGGACCUAACUACAUCAAAAGAUGGAAAAAUGAUGCUUACAAGUAUGAAAGCCAUUUGUGUUUUGAAAGAAAAAUCUAAACUCAUUUUAACUUGUAUUUCAUAUUCUUAACAAAAAGCAGAAAAUACUACCUUCUGUAUUGGUUAUAAGAAUACUGUGGAAGCUUUAGUGGUUAAAUAUUUCCUAUAUUUUCAUGAGAACAGCAGGUUUCCACUUCCCCUUUUAAAUCAAGCUCAGCCUUAUUCCAAUACUUAAGGUAUAUUUCUGUAAUGCUAUUAUGGAUAUUUUAACAGACGUAUCCUAAGUAAGAAGGCAAAACAUGAACAUCAAGAUGAUGAAUAGAAUAGAAUUAGAUUUUUUUUUAUUGGCCAAGUGUGAUUGGACACACAAGGAAUUUGUCUUAGUGCAUAUGCUCUCAGGGUACAUAAAAGAAAAGAUACAUUCAUCAAGAAUCAUAUGGUCCAACACUUAAUGAUAGUCAUAGGGUACAAAUAAGCAAUCGGGAAACAAUCAAUAUCAAUAUAAAUCGUAAGGAUACAAACAACAAACUGAAGAGGACUGCCAUGGCCAAAUGCAAUUUUAUCUGCUGGGCAGUAUAGUUGUUUUUCCUCCUUCCCACCAACCUCCUGAAGAAAAUAUUUUUCUGUUGAUUGGAUGUUUGUAGACAAGAUGAUGUUUUUCACGCUGAAAGGAUUGUAAGAGGAAGGAGAAAUUGGCUUCUAAGGAUGCUCAUUGUCAGAAUUUAAUUUCUUCCCCUCCCAGUGACCCUUUUUGGCAAAGAAGGAAAGGCUCAACCCCCCCCUCCUUUUUUUUUUGCUUCUGAAAAGUCCCCAAGGGUAGGAUUUGUAUUUCAAAGACAUGCAAACAUCCUCAAAGCCCAAUGCCCUUCUCCACAAAGGUUCUUUCUGAAGUUAAGGACAACCAGUGAGAGGAUCACUGGUGCUGGUGAGCUUUAACUCUUCUCAAAUUUCCACAAGUAUCCAAUUGUCUCUAGCCAUUCUUGAAGUGUGGAAGACAUUCCAUUUCACAUCAGGGGAGAUAAUCUAGUCCUUUAAUAAAUUAGACAGCCUCCGAGAUCUAGUUGGGGUUCAUGCAUGUGGAAGCAUAUUUCUAACUGGAUGAAGAACCAUGCAUGUAGCUAGCUAGUUUCUGAAAGAUUAAACUCACAUAGGCCUUUUAGAAAAUUGAGAUCAUUUUGUUGCUGAACUACUUACAGGGAAAUGGCCAUGGGUGGACAAAGACGUAGGCUGCAUUCUUCUGCUCACUGACAAACAACUGAUAUGCAUGUUUGGCAUUUUUCCCCCCAGUAACUUUUUUUGUACAUUACAGAUGCCCACUAGAACAGGUAAGUAAAGUAAUACCUGUUUAUUUUUCCAACUCAUUAAUUGGGAUUCAAUAAAACCAUCAUGGUUAAAAAUCUUUUAGCAACAACUUAAUCUAAACAAAUUGAUGCUCUAUAGAAAUACUUAAGAUUUAUGAUUUGGUUUUAAUUUAAUAAACUUAGACUGUACAUUUUCCUGUAAACAAAUUAACUAUCUAUUAUAUGACAUACAGGGUUGCCAAGGCAGAAAUACAGUAAAUUCAAGUAAUAUAGUCCCUCUUCCCAGGAAGCUCAGGACACGAGUAACUAAAUACCAGUUUUCUGAAAUUAUACAUUCUAAGGCAUGUAUUUUUUGGUUAGUGAAGAAAGGGAGAGGAUAGUCUUAUACUGAGUAUAUUAAGUUCAAUUGAAGAUUUCAAUUUUAGUGUACCCGGAACUGGAUGGAAUUAGCUAAACACUGCUUAUUUCAACUGGUAGCUGAAGCAAUGCAGCUGCAAGUAGUGAAGAUUAGCUUUAAACAUUAGAAGAAGGCACAGCAUGAACAGUACCCAAGGUCAGAUGUGGCAUACACCUUUCGUCGUGAGCUUAAAACAUAUUUAUUCAUUCAAGCAGGACUGGCAUAAAUAGUUGAUUUUAAAUUGGGGUUUUAAUAAUAUUUUAAAUUUUUAAAUCUUUUAAUUAUCGGCCGUAUAGUAAUAGUUCAUUUUAAUUUCUUUUAAUUGUAUAUAUUCUGUGUUUUUAUUCUGGCUGUACACCGCCCUGAGUCCUUCAGGGGAAGGGCGGUAUAGAAAUUUAAUAAAAUAAAAUAAAUAAAUAAAAUAAAUACAAGUCACAGUGCUUAGCUUCACACAUUAAACCAAAACCAUACAAGUCAUAUGGCUUAAUGUGAUUCCUUUGGCAGUGAUUGGUCUUGGAACAGUUUUACCAGCUUCCAUGAAGUGGGGACCAAAUAGUUAAACAUUAUAAAUACAUAGCAGCUUACUGUAAAAGUACUUUUCAAGAACUUGACCUAACUAAUUAUACACAUUUUCAGCAACUUAAAAAUGGUUCACACAUACUGCCUUAAAGCAAUCCAUUCAUUUAAGUCCUUCACCAGAUUUAAGGGUCUGUAAAAAAGACAUAAAGAAUGGCGUUUUUGUUUCUCUUUUGGAACUUUUUGAUCUUAACUACAAGAGAUUGACACCAAAGCUUUGUAAUUCAAGUUUUUAUAAUUUCAUUUAAUUAGCAAUGUUGAUGUCCAAAUCUGUUUUAAAUUUCAUAUUAUAAUUGAAUAAAUAUACUCAAUGCAUUAAAAAUUAUAGAUUUGCAACAAUGUCAAGAAUCCCAUUAAAGUCCAACAUAUCUAAAACAGUCAAGAACCACUACAGACAAUAGUUGUAACACUUCAAUAAGAUUAAGACUUCAAUGCAGAAUUUUGGUUAGAAAGUUUGAAGGAGUCCAUCUUCAAGAUUAAAGAAGGGCAAAAUUGUAUUUUACAGAUGAAGUCCACUGGAAAUCCACUAUCAAUAGACAACAUAACUUUUUGAAAGUUCUAAUA
Ahaetulla prasina is the source of this 6073-nucleotide long non-coding RNA. RefSeq lists it as uncharacterized. The record is from RefSeq and is a predicted model, not a curated record. The transcript has 4 exons. Lineage: Eukaryota; Metazoa; Chordata; Lepidosauria; Squamata; Colubridae.